GCAAACUUGGUCAUUUAGAGGAAGUAAAAGUCGUAACAAGGUUUCCGUAGGUGAACCUGCGGAAGGAUCAUUAUUGAAUAUGCUUGAUAGGUUGUAGCUGGCUCUUUGGAGCAUGUGCACGCUUGUCUUGACUUUAUUCAUCCACCUGUGCACCUUUUGUAGUCUUGAGUGGAUAUCGGAGGAGACUCCGGAUGUGAGGACUGCUGUAUGGCUUUUCUCUAAAGGAUCUAGCUCGAGUACUAUGUAUUUCAUAUACUAGGAUGUUGUAGAAUGUGAUCAAUGGGAAUAAAUGAUAUACAACUUUCAGCAACGGAUCUCUUGGCUCUCGCAUCGAUGAAGAACGCAGC
Molecule: unclassified non-coding RNA, 347 nt
Filed under: uncultured fungus
Lineage: Eukaryota; Fungi
Description: partial contains small subunit ribosomal RNA, internal transcribed spacer 1, and 5.8S ribosomal RNA
Rfam family: Eukaryotic small subunit ribosomal RNA (bases 1-73)
Source: RNAcentral